GUGCCCCAUCAGGAUGUCAUUGUCUCCAGUCAUGCGGUCCAGUGAGUCGCCACUCUACCGCACGGCAAUGACCCCAAGGACGUCCCGAUCCACAGCAGGGACGUGGCCACCCCUGCCAAGUCCCUGGACACAGCCCCAAGUGUUCCCUGGUGGGCCAUACUCGCUGGGCUCCUCCUCCUCCUCCUCCUCCUCCUCCUCCUCCUCACCCUGCUGCCGUGGAAGGUGUCGGGUUCCUGCACAGGUGAACCAAGAUGGAGUCAUGGCUUUGGGGCGGCUUGCUAAACAGGUCAGAUGAGCCACAACGUGCGCAGGUCACAACAGGUCACCACAUGCAGGUCGGAGGUCACACAGCCACCGUCCAUGACCUGACCCCUAAGAGUGGAUACCAGCUGUCUGGAGUGGACACAGAAGUGGAUUCCUUACAGCAUCGGGACUCCUGUAAGAGGAGACAUAGGAAGCAUAGCUGUGGAGGAGGAGGAGGAGGAGGAAGGGUCAAGAUCUCGGUCACCCUCGGAGUCUCGUCACUGGCAACUUCCCGAGGAGCUGCGUCUGUGCGUCACACUCCACCUCCAAGCUAACCCAGGACUGUCCCAGGCUGAGCUGCAUGACAUAACCUAUACUAAGAUCGAACCCGCCUGCAACCUCAAGAUCAAGUACGGGUCACCCAAGCCUAGGAGACAGAGUAGCCCUCGCCGAUCUAAGAGGUGGGUGAUUGCGGCUGAUUGGGGUCUGAAGAGGCUGUUUUUAGGGGCGAGAGGGCAGGGAUAAGACUGUAAGGUUACUAUCAGUGCUGAGAGACAAAAAAUGUGAAGGGUAAUUUUUGGGGCUGAUUUCGGUGCCUGAGGGGGCUGAAAGGAGUAGAGGGGAAGGAAAGGGGCUGAGAAGGAGUCGUCAGGUCGCUAUGGGUUUAAGAACAGGCUGGUUUGGGGCUUUUUAGGGGGCUGAUUUCGGGCUGCGAGUGUAAGGCCGCGGGCACACAGAAAGUGAGAAAGCUAGCGAGAGCUGCAAGGCGAGUUUCUGUGGCCAUACUCACUCUGGAAUAGCUUAAGUUAGGUUAGCAUUUUU
Eriocheir sinensis (Chinese mitten crab) is the source of this 1065-nucleotide RNA transcript. RefSeq lists it as uncharacterized. The record is from RefSeq and is a predicted model, not a curated record. Lineage: Eukaryota; Metazoa; Arthropoda; Malacostraca; Decapoda; Varunidae. The transcript is spliced from 5 exons.